GCUCCAUAUCAAAGUUGUAGUGGUAAAAUAAUAAAUUCUAUAGUUUAUAUAUUAUUCAUUUAAACUGUUUAGAAUCAUAAGAUCAUUUAAUCCUUGUGCCCUACACAUGCUUAUGAUUAAUAUAGGAUCUCGUACAACUCAAGUCAUAUUUUGAGAUUUUUACAAUCUUAACUUUUAUAUACACUAAAAUAUUCUUGACAUAUUUUUUUCUACAUUUAUAGUUCAUAAUAACCAUAGCGUAGAAGUUUUAUUUUUUAUUUAUUUUGCUAUAUUUAAAGAUUUAAGUAAAUGUUUGGAAUAAAAUAGAGAAAUAUUUUCAGGACGAGUGGUGGCGUCACCGCUCCUGGAAAUGGAUUUCUAAGGUCAGGUGAUGGCUUUAUCCGCUUCUUUAAAUUGAUUUCAGAGUUAAUAUAGAAAAAUGACAUACUUCAUAGAGUCACAAGUGACUAUGUAGUGUGGUGUAGAGAAGGGUACGCGCGAGGCUUGAGGUAAAAGACUAGGAUUUUUUCUUUUUUAUUUUGUUGUUUUGAUUUUUUUCUAAAUUUUUUUAUUUUUGGAAAAUUGAUUGUAGGGCGGGUCAUACCCUAAUUCGCCUCUACAAAUCGAUUUCUAGGAGUACGUGUACCCAUUACCCAUCCCUAGAAAUAGUUGUUUGCAGGAGUGGGUACCACACCCGCUCUAGAAAUAUAUUUUUACCCGCCUCUAAAAAUUAUUUUUUAUAGUGUGACUACACACCUGUUUAUACUGAAUUGCCAAGUUCAACAAUUUGGUGGUGUUGCCAACAACUACAGAAAAACUAUUUGGAACGCAGGAAAACUAGCUAAUGUGGCAGUACAACAUGUAAAAGUGAAAUGAACCAAUCUUCCUGAAUCGACUUCUACUUGGGAAGGUCUCUAUGUUCUGCGCCACAGGUUUCCCAAUUGCCAUGCUGGGGAAGGUCUCUAUGUUCUGCGCCACAGGUUUCCCAAUUGCCAUGCUGGGGUUUCUCUAUGUUCUGCCGUCUUCAGCAGGGGGGCAUGUCACGCGGCUAGCGACAAGUGAAGAAGGCAUUUUCCUGAAAGGCGUGUUCGAAGGUGGGAAACAACUGUAGUAGCAUGUGUGGGUUUUACUCUGUAAUUUCAGAUGAGUCUGGCCUUUGGGCUGUAGCUUGUGCAUUUGGCUUAAAGCCUUGAGCCUGUAACGUGAACAUGUACC
Molecule: long non-coding RNA, 1194 nt
Filed under: Panicum hallii
Lineage: Eukaryota; Viridiplantae; Streptophyta; Magnoliopsida; Poales; Poaceae
Description: long non-coding RNA (PHAL_LNC000050)
Source: RNAcentral